UAGGCUCAAUGUCGUGUUUUACAGCUUGAUCUCAGGUAUAAUCCCACUGGUAAGACAAUUUUAUAUCUUUCAACAGAUUAUAACCGGAAUUGAAAGUUUCGCAUACUUGUUUCACUGUGUAACGACACUUGUGGGGGCGUCCCCCGCAACUCCCAUUAUACGCGGGUAUACCGGCGCGAGUUCAUUAUAGUUCGAGUUCCGCUUCGAAAUUUUUGAAACAAUAAAGAAUAAAUUGAUUUCAAAGCGACAGCUCGGAAUACGGGAAUGGUACAGAUGUGUACGGGAAUAAGGAAAACGAAUACACUUUAACGAUCAGGCUACGAAUUAAGAGAAUUAAGACAUUUUGUUUAUUCAACCACGCGGUGUUUUAGUUGCAAUGGAGGGUACAGUGAAGAGUACUCGUAACGAAUUACGAUGUCACAAUACAGAGUGUAUCAAGGAAACCUUGAAUACUGUUCUACAACUAUACGUAGCGAUCCUCGCGAAAGACAUCGACGAAAUAAUCGACGUGCUACCCCACAUAUUUCUCGUCAUCGGAAGCCUAACUAAAUUCGGAAACAUUUUUCUGAACAAGGAACGCGUACGUACAGAUUACUUCAAGGCUUCUACUGUGUAUUACACUUACUUUCUAUUGCAGAUAAAAAUAUUAUUAGAUCGAAUCGUACGCGACUGGAAAACAAUGGGAAGCGAAUUACACGUGCUGGACGAGAUCACUGCAACGGGGUACAGGCUCGCGCAUUUAUACAGAGUUACCCUGCUGACGUUUACAAUGAUUUUUAAUUACAUCCCGUUAAUUCCUCCGACUUUGGAUAUCAUAUUACCGCGGAAUGAAAGUAGACCGAGACAUCAACUGUUUCAAGUUAAUUACGUGUUCUUCGACGCUGAUGACCACUUUAUAUUCACUUAUCUUCACAUGUUUUGGGCGGGGUCUUUGACCGUGUUCGUAGUCGUCACCGUAGAUUCCUUGUACAUGCUUAUCAUUCACCAUGCUAGCGGGUUGUUCGACGUGUGUGGAUAUCAGGUUGAAAUGGCGUGCAGAGAGGAAAAAGUGAAAGAUGCAAUGUUCAAGCAGUGCCUGAUCACUCAUCAUAAAGCUCUAGAGUUUUUCAAUUUGCUACAGGCCUGCAGCCAGAGCAUGAAUUUAUUACUGGUCGGAAUGAACAUGUUACUCAUCAGCACGACGGGAGUCCAGGUAAAAAUAUCUUUAGCCAUCAAACAUAUCGAAGCUCAUACACUCUUUUCACAGAUAAUACUCUACAUGGAUCGACCUCUGGACUCGGUCAGAUUUGUCCUGUUCUUUUUAGGCGAACAUUUUCAUUUAUACAUCAUCAGUCUGUUAGGGCAGAUCGUGCUAAACCACAGUUUACUGCUGCCAGAAAAAAUAUACGGUUCCAACUGGGACGACAUACCGAUUAAGUUUCAGAAAUUACUUUUCAAAAUGAUAAUUAGAUGCAGCAGACCGUGCAUUUUGAGUGCGGGAGGCCUGUACGACAUGAACAUGGAGAACUAUGGGAAAGUAUGUAUUGCAUUCGAAAUCUGUUGUGCUUGGAUAUACGUUAACGAGCAACAUUUUCUCGGCAAAAGGCGGUGAAGGCGUGCAUGUCGUAUUUCACAAUGUUUCUGUCAAUGCGGGAAUGAUAUGACGCGCCACUUGAAGCCAUCUUGACAAUGACGAUGAAAAUGCAACGCUGAGGAAACUUGCUAGCAAACAUUGGUUAAUUUCUGGAAGGACUAACUUUUUUAUCACAAUUUUUGCAGUUAUGUGCGGUAAUCCGAUACACGGAUCUCGAUGGAAUAAUCGAUCAAGCACCGAAUUUAC
This 1819-nucleotide unclassified non-coding RNA is filed under the name Megachile rotundata (alfalfa leafcutting bee). Its description in RNAcentral is "odorant receptor 9a-like, transcript variant X1". Lineage: Eukaryota; Metazoa; Arthropoda; Insecta; Hymenoptera; Megachilidae. The record is from RNAcentral.